GUCUGAGUCAUGAUCAACAUUAUGUGCUGUUUCACAUGCCAUCAUGAAGAGUGUACCCUUCAGUUCAUCUCUCUUCCCUUCAUCGGCUUCAGCUUCGGCUGCCAUGUGCUAGUCUGCCUGGGCCUGGAACUUCUUACUUGCAGGUGGGAAGUACUUGGUCACUGUCUUUCUGCACUGCUCACACUUCACCGCACAGCACCAGUGGAAUUUACAAUUACAGCUCGACACCAUCUCAGCUUUGCGC
Molecule: long non-coding RNA, 244 nt
Organism: Scomber japonicus (chub mackerel)
Lineage: Eukaryota; Metazoa; Chordata; Actinopteri; Scombriformes; Scombridae
Exons: 3
Source: RefSeq, a predicted model, not a curated record